CGGAGCAGUACUAAUAGAUGCGAGUCCGAACGCGCAGCAUAAAGGUGCUUGCACCUUUCAAGCGAGUGGCGAACGGGUGAGUAACACGUGGAUAACCUGCCUCAAGGCUGGGGAUAACAUUUGGAAACAGAUGCUAAUACCGAAUAAAACUUAGUAUCGCAUGAUACAAAGUUGAAAGGCGCUACGGCGUCACCUAGAGAUGGGUCCGCGGUGCAUUAGUUAGUUGGUGGGGUAAAGGCCUACCAAGACAAUGAUGCAUAGCCGAGUUGAGAGACUGAUCGGCCACAUUGGGACUGAGACACGGCCCAAACUCCUACGGGAGGCUGCAGUAGGGAAUCUUCCACAAUGGGCGAAAGCCUGAUGGAGCAACGCCGCGUGUGUGAUGAAGGCUUUAGGGUCGUAAAGCACUGUUGUAUGGGAAGAAAUGCUAGAAUAGGGAAUGAUUCUAGUUCGACGGUACCAUACCAGAAAGGGACGGCUAAAUACGUGCCAGCAGCCGCGGUAAUACGUAUGUCCCGAGCGUUAUCCGGAUUUAUUGGGCGUAAAGCGAGCGCAGACGGUUGAUUAAGUCUGAUGUGAAAGCCCGGAGCUCAACUCCGGAAUGGCAUUGGAAACUGGUUAACUUGAGUGUUGUAGAGGUAAGUGGAACUCCAUGUGUAGCGGUGGAAUGCGUAGAUAUAUGGAAGAACACCAGUGGCGAAGGCGGCUUACUGGACAACAACUGACGUUGAGGCUCGAAAGUGUGGGUAGCAAACAGGAUUAGAUACCCUGGUAGUCCACACCGUAAACGAUGAAUACUAGGUGUUAGGAGGUUUCCGCCUCUUAGUGCCGAAGCUAACGCAUUAAGUAUUCCGCCUGGGGAGUACGACCGCAAGGUUGAAACUCAAAGGAAUUGACGGGGACCCGCACAAGCGGUGGAGCAUGUGGUUUAAUUCGAAGCAACGCGAAGAACCUUACCAGGUCUUGACAUCCUUUGAAGCUUCUAGAGAUAGAAGUGUUCUCUUCGGAGACAAAGUGACAGGUGGUGCAUGGUCGUCGUCAGCUCGUGUCGUGAGAUGUUGGGUUAAGUCCCGCAACGAGCGCAACCCUUAUUGUUAGUUGCCAGCAUUCAGUUGGGCACUCUAGCGAGACUGCCGGUGACAAACCGGAAGAAGGCGGGGACGACUUCAGAUCAUCAUGCCCCUUAUGACCUGGGCUAACA
RNAcentral lists this ribosomal RNA (1201 nucleotides) under Leuconostoc lactis. Its description in RNAcentral is "bacterial SSU rRNA". It matches the Rfam family "Bacterial small subunit ribosomal RNA", at positions 40 to 1218 of the family's 1533-position model. Lineage: Bacteria; Bacillati; Bacillota; Bacilli; Lactobacillales; Lactobacillaceae. The record is from RNAcentral.